This is a non-coding RNA of Cordylochernes scorpioides, 73 nucleotides long. The record is from the annotation of a GenBank genome assembly. NCBI's taxonomy places the organism in Eukaryota, Metazoa, Arthropoda, Arachnida, Pseudoscorpiones, Chernetidae.
GGUAUUAGUGGCCAUGUGGUAAGGCAUCGGUCUUGUAAACCGAAGAUCCAGGGUUCAAACCCCUACUGGGCCU